Molecule: ribosomal RNA, 451 nt
Filed under: uncultured bacterium
Lineage: Bacteria
Description: partial 16S ribosomal RNA
Rfam family: Bacterial small subunit ribosomal RNA
Source: RNAcentral
AACGAACGCUAGCGGCAGGCCUAACACAUGCAAGUCGAGCGCCCGGAUUUAUCCGGGAGCGGCGCACGGGUGAGUAACGCGUGGGAACAUGCCCUGAAGUACGGAACAACCUGGGGAAACCUUGGCUAAUACCGUAUACGCCCUGAGGGGGAAAGAUUUAUCGCUUUGGGAUUGGCCCGCGUUGGAUUAGCUGGUUGGUGUGGUAACGGCGCACCAAGGCGACGAUCCAUAACUGGUCUGAGAGGAUGACCAGUCACACUGGGACUGAGACACGGCCCAGACUCCUACGGGAGGCAGCAGUGGGGAAUAUUGGACAAUGGGCGAAAGCCUGAUCCAGCCAUGCCGCGUGAGUGAAAAAGGCCUUCGGGUUGUAAAGCUCUUUCAGCGGGGACGAUGAUGACGGUACCCGCAGAAGAAGCCCCGGCUAACUUCGUGCCAGCCGCCGCAGUAA